This 459-nucleotide ribosomal RNA is filed under the name Ischnocnema aff. guentheri MG-2013. RNAcentral describes it as "partial 16S ribosomal RNA". It matches the Rfam family "Bacterial large subunit ribosomal RNA", at positions 1847 to 2519 of the family's 2925-position model. RNAcentral also lists the same sequence under 1 other name. Lineage: Eukaryota; Metazoa; Chordata; Amphibia; Anura; Brachycephalidae. The record is from RNAcentral.
GAGGUCCAACCUGCCCAGUGAUAUUAAUUCAACGGCCGCGGUAUACUGACCGCGCUAAGGUAGCACAAUCACUUGUCUCUUAAAUCGGGACUAGUAUGAAAGGACCCACGAGGGUCUAACUGUCUCCUUUUUUUAAUCCGUGAAACUAAUCCCCCCGUGAAAAAGCGGGGAUCAUAAUAUAAGACGAGAAGACCCUAUGGAGCUUUAGAUAAAACAAUACUUCUCUUUCCUCCCCUAUUUCCAGAAAAAUACCCCACAAGGCACUUUAUUGUUUAACUUCGGUUGGGGCGACCGCGGAGCAAAACCAACCCUCCAUGCGAGUGGAAAUUUUCCACAACAAAGAGCUACAACUCUAUGAACCAAAAAUUGCUAAUUGACCCAAUGUUUGAUCAACGAAACAAGUUACCCUAGGGAUAACAGCGCAAUCUACUUCAAGAGUCCCUAUUGACAAGUGGGUUU